Molecule: long non-coding RNA, 422 nt
Organism: Perognathus longimembris pacificus (Pacific pocket mouse)
Lineage: Eukaryota; Metazoa; Chordata; Mammalia; Rodentia; Heteromyidae
Exons: 3
Source: RefSeq, a predicted model, not a curated record
UUAAUUAUAUUAUUAUCAGUAAAUAUGAUCUGAAAGGAUACUAUUGUGUGAAAAUUAGGUGAAUCUUGUUUUAUGAUCAGUUUUUGUAAAUGCCCAGAUGUGUUUGAGAAUGUGAAUGUAUAUCAUAUAUGCCGAAACAUGUAUAUGUUCAUUAAGUCUAACUUGUUCAAUCUGGUUUUAAAACCUUACUUGCCUUUCCUGAUUGUUUUGUUUGACUUUUCAGUAACUGAGAGAAAUGUGAUGAUCCACUAGAUUGUCUGAUUCUCCCUAUUAAAAGUGUGUUGUAGGUAUUUUGAGGCUGUUUUAUUUGGUUAAUCUUUCUUAAUAAGAUGGUCACAGAAGUUUGGUAGAUUGAAUAUUUGUAAUCAUAGAAUAGCCCACCCAGUUUCUAUCUCCCUUAUUGAUACUGGUUUUUUUUCUUU